GAUGAACGCUGGCGGCGUGCCUAAUACAUGCAAGUCGAGCGAACGGACGAGAAGCUUGCUUCUCUGAUGUUAGCGGCGGACGGGUGAGUAACACGUGGAUAACCUACCAAUAAGACUGGGAUAACUUCGGGAAACCGGAGCUAAUACCGGAUAAUAUUUUGAACCGCAUGGUUCAAAAGUGAAAGACGGUCUUGCUGUCACUUAUAGAUGGAUCCGCGCUGCAUUAGCUAGUUGGUAAGGUAACGGCUUACCAAGGCAACGAUGCAUAGCCGACCUGAGAGGGUGAUCGGCCACACUGGAACUGAGACACGGUCCAGACUCCUACGGGAGGCAGCAGUAGGGAAUCUUCCGCAAUGGGCGAAAGCCUGACGGAGCAACGCCGCGUGAGUGAUGAAGGUCUUCGGAUCGUAAAACUCUGUUAUUAGGGAAGAACAUAUGUGUAAGUAACUGUGCACAUCUUGACGGUACCUAAUCAGAAAGCCACGGCUAACUACGUG
RNAcentral lists this ribosomal RNA (497 nucleotides) under uncultured bacterium. RNAcentral describes it as "partial 16S ribosomal RNA". It matches the Rfam family "Bacterial small subunit ribosomal RNA", at positions 28 to 507 of the family's 1533-position model. The record is from RNAcentral.